RNAcentral lists this ribosomal RNA (466 nucleotides) under Vreelandella stevensii. Its description in RNAcentral is "partial 16S ribosomal RNA". It matches the Rfam family "Bacterial small subunit ribosomal RNA", at positions 338 to 795 of the family's 1533-position model. Lineage: Bacteria; Pseudomonadati; Pseudomonadota; Gammaproteobacteria; Oceanospirillales; Halomonadaceae. The record is from RNAcentral.
CCUACGGGAGGCUGCAGUGGGGAAUAUUGGACAAUGGGGGGAACCCUGAUCCAGCCAUGCCGCGUGUGUGAAGAAGGCCCUCGGGUUGUAAAGCACUUUCAGUGAGGAAGAACGCCUGGUGGUUAAUACCCAUCAGGAAAGACAUCACUCACAGAAGAAGCACCGGCUAACUCCGUGCCAGCAGCCGCGGUAAUACGGAGGGGUGCGAGCGUUAAUCGGAAUUACUGGGCGUAAAGCGCGCGUAGGUGGCUUGAUAAGCCGGUUGUGAAAGCCCCGGGCUCAACCUGGGAACGGCAUCCGGAACUGUCAAGCUAGAGUGCAGGAGAGGAAGGUAGAAUUCCCGGUGUAGCGGUGAAAUGCGUAGAGAUCGGGAGGAAUACCAGUGGCGAAGGCGGCCUUCUGGACUGACACUGACACUGAGGUGCGAAAGCGUGGGUAGCAAACAGGAUUAGAUACCCCAGUAGUC